Molecule: ribosomal RNA, 531 nt
Filed under: uncultured Leminorella sp.
Lineage: Bacteria; Pseudomonadati; Pseudomonadota; Gammaproteobacteria; Enterobacterales; Budviciaceae
Description: bacterial SSU rRNA
Rfam family: Bacterial small subunit ribosomal RNA
Source: RNAcentral
AACCGGAUUAGAUACCCUGGUAGUCCACGCUGUAAACGAUGUCGAUUUGGAGGUUGUGCCCUUGAGGCGUGGCUUCCGGAGCUAACGCGUUAAAUCGACCGCCUGGGGAGUACGGCCGCAAGGUUAAAACUCAAAUGAAUUGACGGGGGCCCGCACAAGCGGUGGAGCAUGUGGUUUAAUUCGAUGCAACGCGAAGAACCUUACCUACUCUUGACAUCCAGAGAACUUAGCAGGGAUGCUUUGGUGCCUUCGGGAACUCUGAGACAGGUGGCAUGGCUGUCGUCAGCUCGUGUUGUGAAAUGUUGGGUUAAGUCCCGCAACGAGCGCAACCCUUAUCCUUUGUUGCCAGCGGUUCGGCCGGGAACUCAAAGGAGACUGCCAGUGAUAAACUGGAGGAAGGUGGGGAUGACGUCAAGUCAUCAUGGCCCUUACGAGUAGGGCUACACACGUGCUACAAUGGCGUAUACAAAGAGAAGCGACCUCGCGAGAGCAAGCGGACCUCAUAAAGUACGUCGUAGUCCGGAUUGGAGU